RNAcentral lists this ribosomal RNA (440 nucleotides) under uncultured bacterium. RNAcentral describes it as "partial 16S ribosomal RNA". It matches the Rfam family "Bacterial small subunit ribosomal RNA", at positions 338 to 795 of the family's 1533-position model. The record is from RNAcentral.
CCUACGGGCGGCAGCAGUGGGGAAUAUUGCACAAUGGGGGAAACCCUGAUGCAGCGACGCCGCGUGAGUGAAGAAGUAAUUCGUUAUGUAAAGCUCUAUCAGCAGGGAAGAAAAUGACGGUACCUGAGUAAGAAGCCCCGGCUAACUACGUGCCAGCAGCCGCGGUAAUAAGUAGGGGGCAAGCGUUAUCCGGAUUUACUGGGUGUAAAGGGAGCGUAGUCGGCAGUGCAAGUCUGGAGUGAAAGGCGGGGGCUCAACCCCCGGACUGCUCUGGAAACUGUACGGCUUGAGUGCAGGAGAGGUAAGUGGAAUUCCUAGUGUAGCGGUGAAAUGCGUAGAUAUUAGGAGGAACACCAGUGGCGAAGGCGGCUUACUGGACUGUAACUGACGUUGAGGCUCGAAAGCGUGGGGAGCAAACAGGAUUAGAUACCCGAGUAGUC